Molecule: long non-coding RNA, 1106 nt
Organism: Sebastes umbrosus (honeycomb rockfish)
Lineage: Eukaryota; Metazoa; Chordata; Actinopteri; Perciformes; Sebastidae
Exons: 2
Source: RefSeq, a predicted model, not a curated record
CAACAAAACCACUUUGUUAGGUUUAGGCAACAAAACCACUUAGUUUGGUUUAGGCAACAGUUAAGUUUGGGGAAAAACAUUGAGUUCUGACUUUAAAUAACUAGGAUUCAAAAGUGAAAGGGAAACGUAACGCUUGUGAACACGUUGUUGGUUUCACACGUUGUUUGUUUCACACGUUGUUGGUUUCACACGGGAUGCGAACCCCGGCCUCCCUGGGGUGAAAACCCUGAGAGUGUCCCAUCCAUCGCCCCCGACCUCUACCCCAUAUGGAGUUUCAUGCUGUCUGUACCACAGCGGCUGAGUUCCGCUUCUGCUCCUGUCAUAAUUAAUACGGACGCUAGAGGUCACCGUUGUCUUCUUUUAUACAUUCUUUCGGUGAUCUACUAUGUGAAUAGAUGAUAAAACCUACUAGUGGGUGUAGUAGGCCCGUAUUGACCCACAUCUAUGGUGCUUAUAGCGACCAAUAACGCCUAUUAAAUGGCCUAACAACAGUCUAAUUAGGUAACAUUUGAGAACUUGAUCCACUGUAGAUUUUAUUAUAUAUAUUUCUUUAUUACCUUUAAAAAUUGUAGAGCUGUGAAUCAGAAAUUGUCCUCACAUCCCAGUAAAAUUACCAUGGGGGCCAUUAUAGAGUGCCAUGUUAUUUCAUUAUUCACUGUCUGUGGAAUAGCUCCAGGAUUUGUUUUUAGAUGACAUUAUUACUACAGUCUGUCUCUGUGUGUCGGCUUAAACAGAGACUUCUUCAAAUCAACCAACGGAGCUGUGAAAUAUUACAGAAAUGACAUAUGUAUUUGAAUUUUACGAAUGAUUUUCCCUUUAGCAAAUGAAAUCUUAAUGCUCCGUCUACCUCCUUCGACUCAAACAGUAGACUGUGUGCCCAACGUGUGUCAUUUUGCAAUUCAAUCCCGCAAUUAAACAUUCCAGUAAUGAACUCCUCCCCUCCUGUCCCGUCCUGCGCUGCCUCUCCUGUGUAUAGUGUUUGUUGUACUAAUUUUAUAUACUGUACAGUUAUUCUGAGGACUUUAUGAGCAGUAACCAGCUGCCUGAAUGAAAAACAAAAUGUAUUUGUCAAAAACUGAUGUGCGAAUAAAAACAAAUAAGAAGUC